Molecule: ribosomal RNA, 468 nt
Filed under: uncultured bacterium
Lineage: Bacteria
Description: partial 16S ribosomal RNA
Rfam family: Bacterial small subunit ribosomal RNA
Source: RNAcentral
GACGAACGCUGGCGGCGUGCUUAACACAUGCAAGUCGAACGGAAAGGCCCUGCUUUUGUGGGGUGCUCGAGUGGCGAACGGGUGAGUAACACGUGAGUAACCUGCCCUUGACUUUGGGAUAACUUCAGGAAACUGGGGCUAAUACCGGAUAGGAGCUCCUGCUGCAUGGUGGGGGUUGGAAAGUUUCGGCGGUUGGGGCUGGACUCGCGGCUUAUCAGCUUGUUGGUGGGGUAGUGGCUUACCAAGGCUUUGACGGGUAGCUGGCCUGGGAGGGUGACCGGCCACAUUGGGACUGAGAGACGGCCCAGACUCCUACGGGAGGCAGCAGUGGGGAAUAUGGCACAAUGGGCGGAAGCCUGAUGCAGCAACGCCGCGUGCGGGAUGACGGCCUUCGGGUUGUAAACCGCUUUCGCCUGUGACGAAGCGUGAGUGACGGUAAUGGGUAAAGAAGCACCGGCUAACUACGUG